AACGAACGCUGGCGGCAGGCCUAACACAUGCAAGUCGAACGCUCCGCAAGGAGAGUGGCAGACGGGUGAGUAACGCGUGGGAACGUGCCCUUUGGUUCGGAAUAUUCCCGGGAAACUGGGAGCAAUACCGGAUAAGCCCUUCGGGGGAAAGAUUUAUCGCCAAAGGAUCGGCCCGCGUCAGAUUAGCUAGUUGGUGAGGCCAUGGCUCACCAAGGCUACGAUCUGUAGCUGGUCUGAGAGGAUGAUCAGCCACACUGGUACUGAGACACGGCCCAGACUGUUACGGGAGGCAGCAGUGGGUAAUCUUGGACAAUGGGCGCAAGCCUGGUCCAGCCAUGCCGCGUGGAUGAUGAAGGCCCUAGUGUUGUAAAAUCCUUUCGACGGGGAAGAUAAUGACGGUACCCGUAGAAGAAGCUCCGGCUAACUUCGUGCCAGCCGCCGCCGUAA
Molecule: ribosomal RNA, 447 nt
Filed under: uncultured bacterium
Lineage: Bacteria
Description: partial 16S ribosomal RNA
Rfam family: Bacterial small subunit ribosomal RNA
Source: RNAcentral